This is an RNA transcript of Danio aesculapii, 3078 nucleotides long. RefSeq lists it as uncharacterized. The transcript is spliced from 10 exons. The record is from RefSeq and is a predicted model, not a curated record. NCBI's taxonomy places the organism in Eukaryota, Metazoa, Chordata, Actinopteri, Cypriniformes, Danionidae.
AGAAGAUGGCGUGGAGGGGCAUGUCUUACUACAAAUUAGAUUAGCAUAUUUUGCGGGAUACUAGCUUUUUUUCUGAGUCGUAGUUGCUGUCAGGUUUAGUAGCUUUAGUAACUUGUGGAUACUUACUCGAGACGUUAACUUUUUUGAACGGUUCAGCCUAUUUUUGUGGGAGGGACAAAAGUUUUGCGUUGUAGUCAUUGACUGUAAAAAGUUGCGAUGAACUCAAGUUUAUAAUUUAACUUCUUAUAUUUUGUCUUUAAGUUAAUUUAUUGAGUCUUUUCUUAAAUCUCCAGGUUUGUUGCUGUCAGAGCGUGCUAUGUGGCUCAGGAAAAACUUUUAAACUAUUAUUAGAAAUCAGUUUCAGCUGCAAUCGGCAACAAUAUGAAGAUCGUUUUAAAGAUCAUUCUGUUUCUACUACCGACAUGCGGUGUGUUUAGUGCUGAAAGGAAUGUGUCAAUGUCAGUAAUAGGGGGACAGUCUGCGACUCUUACUGUGGACCUUAACACUACUGAUAUAAAGGAAAUCAAUCGACUGAUAUGGAGGUUUUUAAAAAAUGGAAAUAAACUAAUCGCUAAAAUCAGUGGAAAUGGAAUCACCUAUCCUCCCAAUGGCACUGAGAUAUUCAGAGGCAGACUGAAGCUGGACAAUCAGACCGGAUCUCUGACCAUCAUGAACAUUAAAACCUCAGAUGCUGGACUUUAUAAAGCAGAGAUCAACAGUAAUAAUUUGAAUUUAAUUUUUUUCUUCAAAGUUACAGUCAAUGCUUUAUCUCCAGGUGCUGUGGCAGGAAUAUCUGUUGUCGUUCUUCUGCUGGUGUUUGCAGGAACAGCUGCUUUUGUGUAUUACCAUCACCACAAAUUACCUGAUAUAAGACAUGGAGAGAAGAUAGUGUCUGUGAAGGAGAGAGAAUCUGUCACUCUAAAGCCUGAUGCUGUAAUUCAGAGAGAUGAUCGGAUACUGUGGACGUUUGGACCGCAAGAGACUCGUAUUGCUGAAGUCAGUGGACAUACCAGAGAGAUUUUCACAGGUGAUGGUGCUGAUGGGAGAUUCAGAGACAGACUGAUGCUGGACUCUAUGACUGGAUCUGUAACAAUAACAAACACAGCAAGCGAACAUGUUGGAGUCUAUAAACUGAAGAUCAUCAGCAGCACAGGGACCUCAUACCAAACAUUCAUUCUUACUCUCACACAGGAUGUGAUGUCAGUGACAGAGGGAAGUUCUGUCACUUUAAACCCUGACACAGAAAUACAGAAAAGCGAUCUGAUCCUGUGGAUGUUUGGAGAUGAAGACAGUCUCAUUGCUCAAUUGCAAAAGACCAGAAAGACCAGAGACACAUUCGACGGUCCUGAUGCGAGAUUUAAAAAAAAACUGAAACUCGACAAGAAGACUGGAUCUCUGACUAUCACAAACAUCAAAAUCAAUCACACAGGACUGUACAAACUACAGAUCAGUAACAGCAGCAGGGCAACCACAAGCAAGAACUUCAAAGUGCUGGUAAACUUCAUCAAAGUGUCAGUGACAGAGGGAGAUGCUGUCACGCUAAAGGUUAAUGAUAAAAUUGGUAAAAAAGAUCCGAUACAGUGGCUGUACGAAGAAGAAAACACUCUUAUAGCUGAAAUUAAGGAAGGGAGCAGGGAGAUCCUUACACAUGAUACAACUGAUGGGAGAUUCAAAGACAGACUGACUUUGGAUGGCAAGACUAGAUCUCUGACCAUCAAGAACACCAGACCUGAACACACUGGACUUUAUACACUACUGAUCAACGGCAGCAAAGGGGCAUCGGACAAACGGUUCAUCGUUAUUGUCAAGGCGAGUAUGAUAUUAGGAAAGCAGGGAAAAAACACCACUCUGAAUGUUAACGCUGAAUUACAAAGAGAUGAUCUGAUCCUGUGGAUGUUUGGAGACGAAGACAACCUCAUAGCUCAAGUGAACGGAGAAACCACAGAGACCACAUUUACUGAAGCCGACGAGAGAUUCAGAGACAAACUGCUGCUGGACAAGAAGACUGGAUCUCUGACCGUCAGAAACAUCACAAGCCAACAUUCCGGAGCUUAUAAACUACACAUCGUCAGCAGCAGGAGGACCUUUUACAGGAGAUUCAGAGUUUUUGUGUGUGGUUAUUCUGAUCCAAACACAGUGUCUGUGAUGGCAGGAGAAAGCUUAAUUUUGAUCACUAAUUUUGAUGUAGAGCAAGAUGAGAAGCUGCAGUGGACAUUUGAAGAUGAAGAUGAAGAUGUGAUUCUAGCAUCUGGAAUGAACGGAGACGUCAGUAAGACUUCAUACGGGGAUGAUAAGAGAUUCAGAGGCAGACUGGAGCUGCACCAUCAAACUGCAUCUCUGACCGUGAAAAACACCAGAAGCAGCGACACUGGAGUUUAUCAGCUGAGGAUCUGCAAUGGACGCGGGCAGAACUUUUGCUUGAAUGUCAAUGUUACAAUUUCUGUGAUCUUGUUAACCGAAGUGAUGUGCUGAGACAGUGACACGAGUGGUGUAAGCAAGAGAAAAAUCAAAAAACCUUCUGAAACCUCGUAUUUUCAGGUGUCCCUGCUUGAUUAUAUCAUCACAAAUACUAAAAGCUCUUUCCAACGAUCUGCUGGAAGAUGACUCCAGAAACGCACUGACUGAAUCAGUAAAUAUACAGAUGCCGCAAUCGAGAAAUUGAAUAAUUUGUGAGUUAAACGGACCUUCCUGAAAACCUGUAGACACUUUCAAAGCUUUAGAUUUGAUACAUUGGAAAAAAUGCCUUAGUUUUUUGUUGUUGUUGUUUUUGUUUUUAAACAUUUGGACAAGAAACUAGACAAAUAAUCAAAGUAAGAAAAGCCUUUUUUUUCAGGAAGUUGAACCUGUGCAUGUUAAUGACUUACAAUCGUUUGUAAAUAAAAUGCAAGUGCAGCUAUUGGCAGGUUUGUCUGUUUGAGAAAAAGUGUUUUGACUAUUUAUCCAGCAGAGGGACAUAUAGAUCUGUUCUUUGUGGGGUUGAAAUUAACUUUGUCUGUGAUCUCAAUGUUUGAUAUUUGUUGCAUUACAUUGAUGUCUAAUGAAACGACUGUUUACCCAAAAAUAAACAUUUACUCAUUA